Molecule: ribosomal RNA, 571 nt
Filed under: Acrobeloides sp. GSt13
Lineage: Eukaryota; Metazoa; Nematoda; Chromadorea; Rhabditida; Cephalobidae
Description: SSU rRNA
Rfam family: Eukaryotic small subunit ribosomal RNA
Source: RNAcentral
GCCGGUGGAUUUUUAGCCCUGGUGGGUAGCUUCCCGGAAACGAAAGUCUUCCGGUUCCGGGGGAAGUAUGGUUGCAAAGCUGAAACUUAAAGGAAUUGACGGAAGGGCACCACCAGGAGUGGAGCCUGCGGCUUAAUUUGACUCAACACGGGGAAACUCACCCGGCCCGGACACCGUAAGGAUUGACAGAUUGAUAGCUCUUUCAUGAUUCGGUGGUUGGUGGUGCAUGGCCGUUCUUAGUUCGUGGAUCGAUUUGUCUGGUUUAUUCCGAUAACGAGCGAGACUCUAGCCUACUAAAUAGUAACGAGAUUAUCAAUGUCUCAGUUGCUUCUUAGAGGGAUUUUCGGUGUUUAGCCGCACGAGAUUGAGCAAUAACAGGUCUGUGAUGCCCUUAGAUGUCCGGGGCUGCACGCGCGCUACACUGGCGAAAUCAGCGUGCUGUAUCCAUUCUCGAAAGGGAUUGGUAAACCCAUGAAAAUUUGCCGUGCUUGGGAUCGGAAAUUGCAAUUAUUUUCCGUGAACGAGGAAUUCCAAGUAAGUGCGAGUCAUCAACUCGCUCUGAUUUACGUCC